Molecule: ribosomal RNA, 477 nt
Filed under: Copidosoma truncatellum
Lineage: Eukaryota; Metazoa; Arthropoda; Insecta; Hymenoptera; Encyrtidae
Description: SSU rRNA
Rfam family: Eukaryotic small subunit ribosomal RNA
Source: RNAcentral
AAACCUCCCCCGGCCCGGACACCGGAAGGAUUGACAGAUUGAUAGCUCUUUCUUGAUUCGGUGGGUGGUGGUGCAUGGCCGUUCUUAUUUGGUGGAGCGAUUUGUCUGGUUAAUUCCGAUAACGAACGAGACUCUCGCCUGCUAAAUAGGCGUACCUUCUGGUAUCUCGAAGGCCCCCGGCUUCGGUCGGGUGGUUUUUACUACCGACGUACUAACAAAUCUUCUUAGAGGGACAGGCGGCGUCUAGCCGCACGAGAUUGAGCAAUAACAGGUCUGUGAUGCCCUUAUAUGUUCUGGGCCGCACGCGCGCUACACUGAAGGAAUCAGCGUGUCCUCCCUGACCGAAAGGCCGGGGUAACCCGCUGAACCUCUUUCUUGCUAGGGAUUGGGGCUUGCAAUUUUUCCCCAUGAACGAGGAAUUCCCAGUAAGCGCGAGUCAUAAGCUCGCGUUGAUUACGUCCCUGCCCUUUGUACACA